CACGCCGUAAACGAUGUCGAUUUGGAGGCUGUGUCCUUGAGACGUGGCUUCCGGAGCUAACGCGUUAAAUCGACCGCCUGGGGAGUACGGCCGCAAGGUUAAAACUCAAAUGAAUUGACGGGGGCCCGCACAAGCGGUGGAGCAUGUGGUUUAAUUCGAUGCAACGCGAAAAACCUUACCCACCUUUGACAUGUACGGAAUCCUUUAGAGAUAGAGGAGUGCUCGAAAGAGAGCCGUAACACAGGUGC
RNAcentral lists this ribosomal RNA (248 nucleotides) under uncultured bacterium. RNAcentral describes it as "partial 16S ribosomal RNA". It matches the Rfam family "Bacterial small subunit ribosomal RNA", at positions 796 to 1041 of the family's 1533-position model. The record is from RNAcentral.